AUAAAACCUCAUUUUACGCAAAGAACCCCCAAACUCAGAUAUUUUAAACCAAGUCCCUCAUAGCGCGGGUAAAAUGCGCGAACACACCUCCACAUCUGGUUUAAUGCAAAACGGUACAUAAAAUGUCGCGCUUUUCACAAAAUUACCGUUUUCCCAUUUAAGACCCCUCCUCGGUCAACGCGCGAUAUCAGCAGAUCCGAUUUGCGAACGGAUUGCACUAGUGCGAUCAGUACGACAGAGACAACAAACUCACAAUUUCGUUUCACCUCGUUUGGUCACGGAUUUGCGACAAAACCUAUCCUCUCUCCAACUUUCCAAAACCACACCUAAAUAUAAUUGCAAAUCCAAUAAACUCCCGUUUUCUCAAAAAUCGUGCAUCAAACCUAAAAUUUGUCAGCGCCAUAGGUUCCAGAAUAGCCAAACCGUUCAAAAU
RNAcentral lists this long non-coding RNA (433 nucleotides) under Ananas comosus (pineapple). RNAcentral describes it as "long non-coding RNA (ACOM_LNC026173)". Lineage: Eukaryota; Viridiplantae; Streptophyta; Magnoliopsida; Poales; Bromeliaceae. The record is from RNAcentral.